RNAcentral lists this unclassified non-coding RNA (355 nucleotides) under soil metagenome. RNAcentral's name for it is "partial contains 5.8S ribosomal RNA, internal transcribed spacer 2, and large subunit ribosomal RNA". The stretch from base 1 to 120 matches the Rfam family "5.8S ribosomal RNA", at positions 35 to 154 of the family's 154-position model. The record is from RNAcentral.
GAUGAAGAACGUAGCGAAAUGCGAUAAGUAGUGUGAAUUGCAGAAUUCAGUGAAUCAUCGAAUCUUUGAACGCACAUUGCGCCUUCUAGUAUUCUGGGAGGCAUGCCUGUUUGAGCGUCAUUAAACCUCUCUCAAGUAUGAUUACUUGGAUGUGAAGGAAGAGUACCUUAAACUUAAGGAGUGUUCUCCUUUGAAAUUGAUUAGCAGAUGGUAAUGUUAUUAAAUCCCUGAUGUUGUAAGAAAUAACAGUGGUUUUGUAGACUAUUAUCUAGCUUUAAUUUAUAAUUUUUAUUAUGGUUGACCUCAAAUCAGGUAAGGAUACCCGCUGAACUUAAGCAUAUCAAUAAGCGGAGGA